UACGUAGGGGGCAAGCGUUGUCCGGAAUCAUUGGGCGUAAAGAGCGUGUAGGCGGUUCUGUAAGUCGGCUGUGAAAGUCCAGGGCUCAACCCUGGGAUGCCGGUCGAUACUGCCGGACUAGAGUUCGGAAGAGGCGAGUGGAAUUCCCGGUGUAGCGGUGAAAUGCGCAGAUAUCGGGAGGAACACCUAUGGCGAAGGCAGCUCGCUGGGACGUUACUGACGCUGAGGAACGAAAGCCAGGGGAGCAAACGGG
RNAcentral lists this ribosomal RNA (253 nucleotides) under uncultured bacterium. RNAcentral describes it as "partial 16S ribosomal RNA". It matches the Rfam family "Bacterial small subunit ribosomal RNA", at positions 524 to 776 of the family's 1533-position model. The record is from RNAcentral.